AAGUCGUAACAAGGUCUCCGUAGGUGAACCUGCGGAGGGAUCAUUACCGAGUGAGGGCCUCUGACCCGACCUCCAACCCUCUGUCAUUAAAACCUCUGUUGCCUCGGGGGCGACCCGGGCCUUGUGCUCGGGGCCCCCGACGGACCAUUUCAAAACACUGCAUCUUUGCGUCGGAUUGAAUAAAGUAAAUUGAUUAAAACUUUCAACAACGGAUCUCUUGGUUCUG
RNAcentral lists this unclassified non-coding RNA (226 nucleotides) under air metagenome. Its description in RNAcentral is "partial contains small subunit ribosomal RNA, internal transcribed spacer 1, and 5.8S ribosomal RNA". The stretch from base 1 to 46 matches the Rfam family "Eukaryotic small subunit ribosomal RNA", at positions 1786 to 1831 of the family's 1831-position model. The record is from RNAcentral.